UACGUAGGGUGCAAGCGUUGUCCGGAAUUAUUGGGCGUAAAGAGCUCGUAGGCGGUUUGUCGCGUCUGCUGUGAAAACCCGAGGCUCAACCUCGGGCCUGCAGUGGGUACGGGCAGACUAGAGUGCGGUAGGGGAGACUGGAAUUCCUGGUGUAGCGGUGAAAUGCGCAGAUAUCAGGAGGAACACCGGUGGCGAAGGCGGGUCUCUGGGCCGAUACUGACGCUGAGGAGCGAAAGCGUGGGGAGCGAACAGG
RNAcentral lists this ribosomal RNA (253 nucleotides) under uncultured bacterium. Its description in RNAcentral is "partial 16S ribosomal RNA". It matches the Rfam family "Bacterial small subunit ribosomal RNA", at positions 524 to 776 of the family's 1533-position model. The record is from RNAcentral.